CAUAUCUGGCUACGCUCCAAGCUCCUCGUCGUACUCAACGACGCCGCCUCUCUCGAGCACACGCCUGCGUCCAUCUCACGUACGACGACACGUCUCUUUUUCCUAGCGCCGCGAGGCGAGUGGCACCUUCACUGAUACAGCGACACGACUCUGCUACUCAGCGUUGCAAGGCGAUAGUUCGCUCCCGUUGGCCGCGUCUCCCACACGCACUACGCGUCCCGAGAUGAAGGGACGCUUCGACGGCCGGAUGCUGGCGUGCAAGCAAGGCAACGACGACUGUAGAGGCCCGCAUGCGAGCGAGGCUCCGACCGCCCGAUGCGUGGGAGACAAGGUCGCGACUGUUUUUCCGACUGCUCACACGCGUGGGAGAUGAACACUGCGACGAAGGCCCAUGGCGGCACUGGAGCGAGGCGAGGGUGGCUACUGGCUAUCGUGCGGAGCAGGUAAACCCAACCGCAAUCCACCUUUUCGGAAAUGAAAUUGGGCGAUGGAGGGCGGCUCCAUGUUCUACUACUCCGCACCCCAAACUCGAAUCCACCUGGUUGUCUCCUAGGUCAUCAUGUCUGCUCUAUCCCCGUCUAGCUGCAGUCGUUGCUGCCCCGGGCGACGACGUCCUGUUCUCGUCCAUGUCCGUCUCCCGCGUGGCUCCACACCAUGGCGAGGUGAACCACGCGCUGCAUGCCGCAGCAUCCCUAUACGGUGGGGACCAAAACGUGCAUCGACGAUGUGAACAUGUACCAUCCCGGCGAUGGCGACGGAAACGGGAAGAGCGACGCCGCUGUUUUGCUCAGGAGACAGAGGCUUAUGGCUGUUUGUGGGACCUUUCAUCUGGGAGUGGACUGUUCUGGAUGCACAACAUGUGUUUGAGGUAAUGCCCAUUGGAUGUCCCUUUUCCUUUUUCUUUAAUCAACAUCGCUCUAAAUCCGAGCGCAGACGCAACAGCAUCAUCUCCUUUCUCGUCCUACCCUGUCCGCACCUCACCAGCUCCACCCGAUGGCUUUUUCCCUUUAUUUUUCCCACAACAUGCAAGCUGUAGCUAAAGCCACUGAAGAUCAGACAGACGCAACACAACAACAUCCACUCCCGCCGGCUUUCUCAUUGAUUUCCCACAAGGCGAAAGCUGAAGCUCAAGCCGCUGUUGGCCAACCAUCAACAUUUGCGUUUUUACUGUACCUAUUUGAAAUCUAAUGUUUUUUCCUUUCCUUUCAAUCACAUAAACAUUUACCCGUUUUUAGCCUCUCAGAGCUUAGAAAUAUUCUAAAUAAUGUCAUUUCAUUAUGCAAUAUGGAUUACAUAUGAUACAACUUCUUCGCCAUGCAAAAAAUUAACAUUUUUAGAGCUUACUUGAACUUGAUGACAAUAUAUUAUUGGAGGGGACUCAUGUGUUCUGUGGCAGAACCACCCGAAUUAUUCCAGCUUAAGUGCCUAAGUCACGCCUCAGGGGCCGUAACACACUUAAAUCGGAAUAACCCGUCAGUCCCUCAGAUCUAGUCUGAUAGAGCCACUUAACCAGGAUCAAAUUCCACAAUCCCACUCGAAGGUGAGUCACAGAAGAAAUACAAUAAAACAGGAAACCUCAAAUUAAGUACUGAGUUAUUACAUAAAUCGGAGUUUUUUAGUAGCAAAUAAAGUUCAUAAAUUAAAGUGCAGCGGAUAAUCGAUGUCGUCGGUAAUGAGGAAAUGGGCAAGGCCUAGCCCACUACUCCUCAUGCUCCUCUCCUGCCGGAGCAACAUCCCACUCGACCGUCCAACCCGGUGGCAGGGUGGUAGGCCAAGUCACACCAUCAACCAAAUCCUGCAUGGUACCUGCAAAAAUGGUGCCACAAGCAAGGCUGAGUAUACUAAUACUCAGCUAGACUUAACCGGUGUGAGGCGUCUACUCCUCUACCUCUAGACUAUGCAGCUGUUUGGCUGAGGGGUUUGGUUUGCCAAAAGCACUAGCUGUUUCUAAAAUCAAUUUUUAGCUUUUCAAAUUCUACCAUUAUUAACUUAGCUAGAUUUGCUCCUUCUAAGCAUUCAUGGUAACAAUCAGUUAGAUCAAUCAACAAAUUAUCUCAUAUAAUCCACAUUUCACUUCUUACUCGAUGCAGUACAAGGAAUCAAGCAGUCUCAUUAGCUGCAAGAAGCAGACGAUUCGAAUCGAGUUUUAAACCUUGCAGGGUAAACCUAAACACACGGCAUGUCAGGGUACUCCGACCCCACACAUGACAACCGUCCCCAUCGAUUCCCCGUUCGCGUCUAGGCCUCACCGCCUUGGCAUACAAUGCUCCACUGACCCCGGCUGCCGCCGUGCAGUGACCGCACUUGUACCCACCAUAGCUAGCAUGGGAGACCCAGUCUCAGGUCGCAUGAGGGAUAAAGUCCGCGCCCGGCUUCACUCAGGUACUAGGUUUACCGGUUACCAUUUUUCCCGGCAUGUGCUUAGUACGUUCAAAAGCUUGACUCAGGUAUCCACACAUUAAUCCUUAAUUCAUUUUUCCCGUCUCAUGGACAAGGCAUCCUCCCUGGAUCCAAGUCCAUAGACCAACAUAUAUCCCAUUAUCAAGAUGAAUACAAUCAAUUCCUGACCUCGCGCGAGUGCUAGAAAAAUCACUCGACUUCUACCGAGAUCCUGAUUAGCAAGCAGCUACUCGACCUAGCAUACUAGUAUUCAUCUCAAAAAGGAAUCCUAAGUUCAUGCAGCUAGAGGUUUCAAGCAACUCCUACACUUAAGUGCACAUUGCAAUCCUACAAGCAUUAAGUGUAGUAAAGUAGCAUAUAAUAACAUGGUUAUGCAUAAAACCGGGGCUUGCCUUCAAUUGCUGGGGCUGCGGGGAGAUCCUCAAUAGCAGCCUCUGAAGCCUGCUCCUGGUCCUCCUCUUGGACAGGUCCUUGCUCGGGGAUGAGCACGUACUCUCCGUCGGCAAGAUUACAAUCUAAUGAAUGCAAUGCGUAAGAUAUAUGCAUGAUAUGAUAUGUGCUUUUAGAAAUUACAACUUUAAAGGGGUAUGAUCUUUUGAGUUUAAACAAGUUAACUUUACUUAUGUAAAACCCUUGGGUGGUAUACUUGGUAAAUUGGGUUAAACUUAGCUAAGGUAAGUGGUAGGUUUAUUUUUGGGUUUCUACUGAAUUAUUUUUAAGUCUUAGGGAGAAUUGAUAAGUUCUCAAGUUAGACUCAUUGGGAUGAGGUUCAUUCCUUCUUUCCUUUUCUUUUAUUCUUUUAAUGUUUUGGAGUAGGUUUGAACUACAAGUUGCUUUUAUAAAAUUCCAAAAAUUCUGCACAAAUUACAGUGGCUUGUUACUGGUGUAUGAUUCUCUGUCACAAAAUUUGAGGGUCAUAAAGUGAAUGGUUUUCUCUGGACAAAAUUACCAAAUUUUAGGGCAGAAGGGGUGCUUUGAACUACAACUAUUAUUUAACAGUGGGUAAUUCUAUAAAACUCAUUUUUGCUGGCUUUUAGGUGUUAUAACAUGACUUGAUACAAAUUUCUAGUCAUUAAUACCUUUUAAUUCUUUUCCUAUGGUUUUCUUAAGGUUUCUAGCCAAAGGGGUGCUUUCUACUACCACUAUAUUUGAAAAACAUCAAACAACAGAGUUCUUAUUUUUCUUGGUUAUUAUUUUGUGCAAGAGCAAUCAUUCUGAGGUUUGGCUUCUUUUUGCUUAAGGGAAGGGGUGGUUUGCAUUAUUUGAAUUAAGUGGUCUUUCUCUUUAAUCACUAGCAAAAGGUAUGAGUUUACUUCUUCUUCAUGGGUUUGCAUUUUUCUCUGGUGGUUUGUCUCAUCAUGGACUUAGCUAAUUUUUGGUUGCCCAUUAUCACAUUAUUUGGGGUUGUUCAUGAUUUAGUUGGAAAAUGCCUUAUUAUCACUUUGCAUUUAAUUUCCUUACUUAAAGAGUUGGGCUGGGGUGCUCUGUAUUUUUGUAGUGGGGCUCUGGUGGUUAUAAGUUCGCUGGAUUUUUAUUAAUCACUUUGGUUAUAGUUUUGCAAUUCUAAUAAUUGAUUUUCAGUCUACAUAAGGUUAAUUAAAUCAUCUUAAUUAAAAACUGGUCCAAAUUAAUGGUCUCUGUAUUUUUCCUAGGUUCUCUGUUGCAUAAGUAAACUAGGAAAAAUAUUAUUAAUCACUGUUCAUUAAUUCCUAAUGCCUUUUUGAUUUUCUCUAAGUUUUGGACAAAAUAGCUUUAAAUGAAUAACUACAUCAUAUUUUUCAAUGCUGGUGUUCCUACUAUUUUUAAACAGUGCCUAAAUAAGGUAUAAACAUCUACAAAUUUUCUUAAGCUCAGCACAAAAGAAAAACUAAUUUUCCUUAAUUAAACAAGGUUUAGUGGGUUUCUGUUUUUAAUUUUAAACUCUAAAAUUUAGAACAGAAAGCAUAGGGUUCACUAUUUUUAAAUGACAGAUCAUAAUAUUCCAGAGCUAGCAAAAUUGGUUUGACAACUUUUUAUUAUAAUUUCAUCAAGUUAUGGAUUUUCUAAGUUCUCUGGUCAUUUUAAAAAGAAUAACAGAAUUGAUUAAAUGGAAAUCCACUUUGCACUGGGGUCCCUGGCGGUUUUCUAAGUUUCCUUCGCGAAUAAGUCCUUAGGUUACUAUUCACAUGAGUCAUUGACAUUACAGAAAACCCCUCGGGUUCUACAGAUCCUAACCCGAGGUCCUUCUUCUACCUUAAACAGUAGCCGCGGCGAAGAAAAGGGCGGAGGGGCUUACCGGCGGCGAGACUGUUCCGGUGAAGUGGUUGAGGAUGAAGGGGAGGUCGCGGGGAUCACAACGGUGUGCGGAACGCCGUCGGAGAUGGCCGGAGUCGGUCGGUCCACGCGCGCAGGCGGGGAUGCUCGUCGGCGACGAGGAGACCGGCCUGGUCACGGCGAGAUAGUUCAAUCAAAUGGGUCAGGGAGGUCCACGGGAUGCCAGAGAAGCUAUGAGCGAAAGGAAUCGGGCGGAGACUCACUGGAUAGCUCGGUCCACGCGCGGCGGCGGAAGACCGAAGUCCGGUGAGGUCGAUCUCGGGCCUCCGGUGAAGUCCAGUCGGGUCCGAGGGCUUGGCGAGCUUCACGGGCUACUGGCGGAGCUAGCCGAAGCACUGGCUUGCCCAGAGGAUGGCUGGAGUGGGCUGGCCACGAUGGCCGAAGCUCUGGCGGCAAUGGCGGGCGGAAUUGAGCUCGCCGGAGCUAAGGGAAAGGGGCUGGCCGGUGAGGGUGAGUGCGGGGCGAAGUGGGCCGCGCCUGGGAGGGCUUUAUAGGCACGGCGCGGUGCACGGGCGGUCGUGGACCGGCGAGUGCGCGCGGGCGUGCACUGGGAAGGCGCGGUGCGCGAACGGGCGUGAACCAGGGGUGUCAGCCGCGGUCGAACACGUGUUCCCGUUGCCUCUGCCCCUGUUCAAGCGCCGAUUGGGAGCAAAUCUUCGCGAAUUUGGGCAAGAUCACUGCAAGGGAUUUGUUCACCAGACCAAGCUUUGUCUUUUGUGUAUGGACGACGUGCGGUUUUAGGCUAGGGACAGGGAGUUGUAGCGUCACCAAGGUGCCAGUGUCAGAAUGCCUGGUCCCGAGGUUAAGCUGCGCCAAAACCGUGUCAAAUGAAUUUGGUUUGAGUUCAAACUUUCCCAGAAUGUGUUCAAGGUAAUUUGGCACGACUUUGAUAUUUGGGUCUUCUGGCUUUGAGUUUGGAAAAACAGAGAACACAGAUGAUCUUUGAGAAGAGGUCUGAAAUUCAGAAAUUCAGGAAUCUGAAUUUCUCUAAGGGUUCAUUGAUCAAGGGCUGAUUUGGGGAUUUAUUUGAGUUAUUUUGGCUAAGCCUUCUCAAUCUUUCUUGUUGCUUAAUAAAUAUACUUUAACUUAUAUAUUUGGCUCAACUCAAAAUUUUAAACUUUUCAUCCUCUUUUUCAUAUUUUCUUAAAUCUUGUUCAUGGGGUUUACUUAGGGUUUUGAAUUAGGGUUGCACAAUCUUAUCUUUUAAAGGACUCAAUUGCUUUGAUCAUGACACUUUUAAGUAUAUACUUGGUGAAUUCUUUCUCACUUAAAUUGUUUUGUUGCUCAUGCUUACUUUGGUUCACAUAAAAUAAUGGUUCUUGGUUUGGCUUUUUAAGAGAAACCCUAGGUGACACUGGGGUGUCACAUGUUCAAUACACUUCGUCCUCUUUAUUAUAUAAAUAUGAAUCUAUGCAACACCAACAGCCACCCAAUGUGUGGUUGCAACCAAUGUAAUGAGAAACUGUUAUGGUGGAUAAAUGAGAAUGCAUACACAUGCAUACUUUUGUAGAAGUUUCGGAAUGCAUACACCAUGCAUACUUCUGUACAAGUAUAAGGCCCUGUUCGGUUUUCACGAAUUGGAGCUCCGGAAUGAUUUCUAGCCGGAUUACUUAUCUAAUUUAUAUAAGUUUUGAUGAGCUGGACGAAUCCCGGUUCAUUCAUGGACAAGUGAAUGGUCCCUAAACAAAUCAUGCACCUUGUAAUACGAUAUAUAUUCCUGACUACUACUAUAUAUAUUAUGCGUAUUAGUGUACAAUUCUGCCUUAUAAUGCAUCAGUAUAUUGUCAACGCGAAGGUCACUGUCAAGAUGACCUAGCUAUAUAUUAAAGUGAGAGCAUCUGUCCUAAUUUUCUUUGGCAUUUCUAUGAUGUUGAAAAAAACAUAAUUGAUUCAAGACUCUGCAUAGUGCUUAUCACCGUGGAAUUUCGAACAAACUCUCAAGUGCAUUGAUGUAUAGCACACUCAUUCUAUUUUACAGUGGUUGCUUCAACCCCACACAGAUAAAGGUAAAAAGGUCGGUCUUCCUCUUCAAUCUCCUCCAAAGAGGUAAACUUCUAUAAUUAACUCCCUAUCCACCAGUUAAUCCAUUUACUUACCAAAAGUAUUAAUACACAAAUAUAUAUACCAUUUGUAGCACCAUAUAAUAAAAAUACUUUUUGUCCUUGCGUAUAACAAUAUAAACACUAUCUACUCCUAUAUAUACUUUUACAUACACAACAUGUUUCUACUCCAUUGCCAGGUGACCGGUCAGAUUAAUAAAACUUCACUUUUCCAUUUCACAGGGUUUAACAAGGAUCACUACACAUCAACGAUUCUACCGGCUAAAAGGAUUUGCUUAAUGUAGCCUCACCUUAUGUUAUCGAUCCUACCUUAACCCUUCAGUCAUGCCUGUUACAUACAACUGUUGUGUUGAUGCUUAUAUUAACCUCAUAUGACGACCUAAAUAGAUAUGACAUCAAGACUCUACAUAUAUCAUCAGCAUAAGUUAGGAUUUUGUAACUUGGGACAGUACAUGGAUAUAUAAUUAGCCUUCAUAUUGUGCUACCUGAUUGUUGAAGCUAUCUGAUCAUUGCAACCUUUAUAUUUUCGAACACGCACAACUUCGAACCAGUACCAAAG
Molecule: long non-coding RNA, 7332 nt
Filed under: Zea mays
Lineage: Eukaryota; Viridiplantae; Streptophyta; Magnoliopsida; Poales; Poaceae
Description: long non-coding RNA (ZMAY_LNC003659)
Source: RNAcentral